This 235-nucleotide ribosomal RNA is filed under the name Vibrio sp. 2017_1457_13. RNAcentral's name for it is "partial 23S ribosomal RNA". It matches the Rfam family "Bacterial large subunit ribosomal RNA", at positions 1 to 231 of the family's 2925-position model. RNAcentral also lists the same sequence under 1 other name. Lineage: Bacteria; Pseudomonadati; Pseudomonadota; Gammaproteobacteria; Vibrionales; Vibrionaceae. The record is from RNAcentral.
GUUGUAUGGUUAAGUGACUAAGCGUACACGGUGGAUGCCUAGGCAGUCAGAGGCGAUGAAGGACGUAUUAACUUGCGAUAAGCGUAGAUGAGGCAGUAAAAGCCACUCGAGUCUACGAUUUCCGAAUGGGGAAACCCAAGUGCAUAAGCACUUAUCGCUGCGUGAAUACAUAGCGCAGCGAGGCAAACCGGGGGAACUGAAACAUCUAAGUACCCCGAGGAGAAGAAAUCAACCG